GGAAUAUUGCACAAUGGGCGAAAGCCUGAUGCAGCAACGCCGCGUGGGGGAUGACGGCCUUCGGGUUGUAAACCUCUUUUAGUAGGGAAGAAGGACUUCGGUUUGACGGUACCUGCAGAAAAAGCACCGGCUAACUACGUGCCAGCAGCCGCGGUAAUACGUAGGGUGCAAGCGUUGUCCGGAAUUAUUGGGCGUAAAGAGCUCGUAGGCGGUUUGUCGCGUCUGCUGUGAAAACCCGAGGCUCAACCUCGGGCCUGCAGUGGGUACGGGCAGACUAGAGUGCGGUAGGGGAGAAUGGAAUUCCUGGUGUAGCGGUGGAAUGCGCAGAUAUCAGGAGGAACACCGAUGGCGAAGGCAGUUCUCUGGGCCGUUACUGACGCUGAGGAGCGAAAGCGUGGGGAGCGAACAGGAUUAGAUACCCCAG
This 424-nucleotide ribosomal RNA is filed under the name uncultured Rathayibacter sp. RNAcentral describes it as "bacterial SSU rRNA". It matches the Rfam family "Bacterial small subunit ribosomal RNA", at positions 358 to 790 of the family's 1533-position model. The record is from RNAcentral. Lineage: Bacteria; Bacillati; Actinomycetota; Actinomycetes; Micrococcales; Microbacteriaceae.